ACCAUGUGUUGUAUGAUGAGAAUCGCUUCACUGCUGAUGGAUUGCAAAUUCUGACUAACAAUCUCUGUUAUACGUAAUUUUUUAACAUCCUUUUUCCGUCAACCAGUUUCUCUAGUGCUAUGUAGAAAUUUUUUUUCUUUUCUAUUAUCAUGAUUUUGGCAUCCUUUUGACUGAUGACUUGUUUAACUGUUCAAACAUUUUCAGUUAUGCAAGGUGUACUCGAUCUGUUUCCAUAGGUUUGACUCCUGUCCGUUAAUUACCCACUCUAUUAAUUUUUAUUUACUGUUUUCUUCCACUAGAAUGUUGAUGGUUAAAUGUUUUAAAUUAUGCAGUCCCUCCUGCCUAUUAUGCCCAUUUAGCUGCUUUUCGGGCUCGAUAUUACAUUGAGGGCGAAACAUCAGAUGGUGGAUCUUCAAGCGGACGGAGUACAACAGCGAGGAGUAGGGAGUUCCAACCUCUUCCUGUGAUCAAAGAUAAUGUGAAAGAUGUUAUGUUUUAUUGCUGAGAUUCCAACGUCCCAUUUUGUGUUCCCUCUUUUUUUUUGGCACAGUUUUUGCACAAAUGGCCAUUAGUCGUUGCAGUCUCGGUGCCUACCCUUAACCCAACUGAAUGAAACUGAUACUGUUACCUCUGGGUGUUCUUUUUGGCAAAUGGUAUUCGAGUUUAACUGUUAUUAUUUAUUUAGCUGAGGCUGGUUUUGGUUGUUGGGAUGGUGAGUGAAGCAACAUAGAUGCUUGGAAAAGUGAUUUCAUUUCCUUGUAAAUACUACUUUGCUUAAUGCUCAAUCUCUUAUCAUUAAAGUUCUUAUAAUUUUCAUUUUCAUCUGUUAUAAAUGUUGAUACCUUAGUGUUAGGGUCUCUGUCCUGCGUAGUACAGCUACUUUUAAAGGUAGGCUGAAAAAUAGGCUUGUGGUGUACCAAACAAUCAGAUGUUGGUGAAAGCGUUUU
RNAcentral lists this unclassified non-coding RNA (947 nucleotides) under Hevea brasiliensis (rubber tree). The record is from RNAcentral. Lineage: Eukaryota; Viridiplantae; Streptophyta; Magnoliopsida; Malpighiales; Euphorbiaceae.